Molecule: ribosomal RNA, 207 nt
Filed under: uncultured bacterium
Lineage: Bacteria
Description: partial 16S ribosomal RNA
Rfam family: Bacterial small subunit ribosomal RNA
Source: RNAcentral
AGCGCAGACGGCGAUGCAAGUCUGGAGUGAAAGCCCGGGGCUCAACCCCGGGACUGCUUUGGAAACUGUAUGGCUAGAGUGCUGGAGAGGCAAGCGGAAUUCCUAGUGUAGCGGUGAAAUGCGUAGAUAUUAGGAGGAACACCAGUGGCGAAGGCGGCUUACUGGACGGUAACUGACGUUGAGGCUCGAAAGCGUGGGGAGCAAACA